AUAUCAAUAAGCGGAGGAAAAGAAACUAACAAGGAUUCCCCUAGUAACGGCGAGUGAAGCGGGAUGAGCUCAAAUUUAAAAUCUGGCUGGUUUACUAGUCCGAAUUGUAGUUUAUAGAAGCGUUUUCGGUGGCAGCCUGGGUAUAAAUCCUUUGGAAUAGGGUAUCAUAGAGGGUGAGAAUCCCGUCUUUGACUGGGAGUUUGCCGCGUACGAUAGGUUGUCUACGAGUCGAGUUGUUUGGGAUUGCAACUCUAAAUGGGAGGUAAAUUUCUUCUAAAGCUAAAUAUCAGCGAGAGACCGAUAGCGCACAAGUA
Molecule: ribosomal RNA, 314 nt
Filed under: uncultured Mortierella
Lineage: Eukaryota; Fungi; Mortierellomycota; Mortierellomycetes; Mortierellales; Mortierellaceae
Description: partial large subunit ribosomal RNA
Rfam family: Eukaryotic large subunit ribosomal RNA
Source: RNAcentral